This 496-nucleotide ribosomal RNA is filed under the name uncultured bacterium. RNAcentral describes it as "partial 16S ribosomal RNA". It matches the Rfam family "Bacterial small subunit ribosomal RNA", at positions 28 to 506 of the family's 1533-position model. The record is from RNAcentral.
GAUGAACGCUGGCGGCGUGCCUAAUACAUGCAAGUCGAGCGAACAGGCGAGGAGCUUGCUCCUCUGACGUUAGCGGCGGACGGGUGAGUAACACGUGGAUAACCUACCUAUAAGACUGGGAUAACUUCGGGAAACCGGAGCUAAUACCGGAUAAUAUAUUGAACCGCAUGGUUCAAUAGUGAAAGACGGUUUUGCUGUCACUUAUAGAUGGAUCCGCGCCGCAUUAGCUAGUUGGUAAGGUAACGGCUUACCAAGGCAACGAUGCGUAGCCGACCUGAGAGGGUGAUCGGCCACACUGGAACUGAGACACGGUCCAGACUCCUACGGGAGGCAGCAGUAGGGAAUCUUCCGCAAUGGGCGAAAGCUUGACGGAGCAACGCCGCGUGAGUGAUGAAGGUCUUCGGAUCGUAAAACUCUGUUAUUAGGGAAGAACAAAUGUGUAAGUAACUAUGCACGUCUUGACGGUACCUAAUCAGAAAGCCACGGCUAACUACGU